Molecule: long non-coding RNA, 253 nt
Filed under: Trifolium pratense (red clover)
Lineage: Eukaryota; Viridiplantae; Streptophyta; Magnoliopsida; Fabales; Fabaceae
Description: long non-coding RNA (TPRA_LNC000593)
Source: RNAcentral
ACGUGUCAGUGUCCGACACUCGUAUGACACUCGUCCGACACGUGUCGGAUAGCUCAUAUCGGUGUCGGAAAAAAUUCAAUUUUUUCUUUAGUUUGACACUUCUUUGAUUGGUGUCCGACACCUGUAAGACUCGGAUGACACGUGUCGGACAAGUGUCCCAAAAAAUAAUUAUUUUUUCUUUGCUUAUACUCUCUUUAGGCACAUAUUAGACAUAUCAACAAGAGUUAAAGAUGUGUAGAAACAACAAUAUUNN